RNAcentral lists this ribosomal RNA (237 nucleotides) under uncultured Glomeromycotina. RNAcentral's name for it is "partial small subunit ribosomal RNA". The stretch from base 46 to 237 matches the Rfam family "Eukaryotic small subunit ribosomal RNA", at positions 693 to 886 of the family's 1831-position model. The record is from RNAcentral. Lineage: Eukaryota; Fungi; Glomeromycota.
GGACUGAUAUGUCGGUCGUGCCUCGGUACGUACUGGUAUUUUUGGUUUCUCCCUUCUGACGAACCUUGAUGUCAUUAAUUUGGUGUCUUGGGAAAUCAGGACUGUUACUUUGAAAAAAUUAGAGUGUUUAAAGCAGGCUCACGCUUGAAUACAUUAGCAUGGAAUAAUGAAAUAGGACGUUUGAUUCUAUUUUGUUGGUUUCUAGGAUUGACGUAAUGAUUAAUAGGGAUAGUUGGG